This 1251-nucleotide non-coding RNA is filed under the name Culex quinquefasciatus (southern house mosquito). RNAcentral's name for it is "Eukaryotic large subunit ribosomal RNA". It matches the Rfam family "Eukaryotic large subunit ribosomal RNA", at positions 1 to 1112 of the family's 3401-position model. Lineage: Eukaryota; Metazoa; Arthropoda; Insecta; Diptera; Culicidae. The record is from Rfam by way of RNAcentral.
UGGCCUCAAAUAUUGUGUGACUACCCCCUAACAUUUAUGAAGGGGAGGAAAAGAAACUAACAAGGAUUCCCCGAGUAGCUGCGAGCGAAAAGGGAUGAGCUCAGCACGUAGGGGUGAUGCACUUGUGUGUCUACCCGGUUCCGUGUACUGGAAAAUUUGUCAUCUGCCAUGCCCAGCGUAAGGUCCAAGUUCAACUAGAAUGUGGCUUUUACUCCCAUAGAGGGUGAUAGGCCCGUAGGACGGCGCUGAUGGUGGAAAAUUUUUCCAUGGAGUCGUGUUGCUUGAUAGUGCAGCACAAAGUGGGAGGUAAACUCCUUCUAAAGCUAAAUAUCACCACGAGACCGAUAGCGAACAAGUACCGUGAGGGAAAGUUGAAAAGCACUCUGAAUAGAGAGUCAAAAAGUACGUGAAACUGCCUAGGGUCAAGCCCGUUGAACUCGAUUAUCCAAAGCGGAGAUAUGCCAAUGUGGCUGGCCUUCACUGGUCUGCUGAAGGGUAUUUAUCUUCUGCUUUACGAGGACGUUGCGAUCCAUUACGAAACCGCUAGUCAAGAAAACGACUACAGGUCCGGCAAUUGCCCCUUGGCAUCUGGUUGUUAGUCCCACAGUAGCGACGCUCAGGUCGAAAGACGAACAUCGUAACCUGGCACUUACCGUUGCGUGGUGUGCAGCCGGACGCGUGAUGGAUUUCCACGCAGACCGUCACUCCCAGUGACGGCUGAGGCAACGAUAAUAUCGAGGUACCUUCGGGACCCGUCUUGAAACACGGACCAAGAAGUCUAUCUUGCGCGCGAGCCAAUGGUACUCAGUUGAAACACCAAAGGCGCAAAAAAACAUAACUUGAAACUUGUGCGGGAUUACGGAUGAGACUCUCUGCUCGUCCCUCCAUCCCCGGUUGUUAUACCAGGCACUCGAUGCCAUAACUACCGCGAGUGCGUUGGAUGUGACCCGAAAGAUGGUGAACUAUGCCUAAUCUGUUUGAUGUGCACUUUGGGCAUAGCGGCGAAAGACCAAUCGAACCAUCUAGUAGCUGGUUCCCUCCGAAGUUUCCCUCAGGAAAGCUGGAGCAUGCAACAUUUCGGAUUCUAUUCUUAUCUGGUAAAGCGAAUGAUAAGAGGCCUUAGGUCCGAAAUGAUCUUGACCUAUUUUCAAACUUUAAAUGGGUACGUACUUGCAUGAUGUCAUUGCAACCGUUCGAACGUCGGGCCGCCCCUUGCCUUUUGGGCCGUGCCGGUCGACGUACAAGAUAUCU